Molecule: ribosomal RNA, 497 nt
Filed under: uncultured bacterium
Lineage: Bacteria
Description: partial 16S ribosomal RNA
Rfam family: Bacterial small subunit ribosomal RNA
Source: RNAcentral
GAUGAACGCUGGCGGCGUGCCUAAUACAUGCAAGUCGAGCGAACAGACGAGGAGCUUGCUCCUCUGACGUUAGCGGCGGACGGGUGAGUAACACGUGGAUAACCUACCUAUAAGACUGGGAUAACUUCGGGAAACCGGAGCUAAUACCGGAUAAUAUAUUCAACCGCAUUGUUCAAUAGUGAAAUACGGUUUUGCUGUCACUUAUAGAUGGAUCCGCGCCGCAUUAGCUAGUUGGUAAGGUAACGGCUUACCAAGGCAACGAUGCGUAGCCGACCUGAGAGGUUGAACGGCCACACUGGAACUCGGACACGGUCCAGACUCCUACGGGAGGCACCAGUAGGGAAUCUUCCGCAGUGGGCGAAAGCCUGACGGAGCAACGCAACGUGAGUGAUGCAGGUCUUCGGAUCGUAAAACUCUGUGAUUAGGGAGGAACGAAUGUGUAAGUAACUAUACACGUCUUGACGGUACCUAAUCAGAAAGCCACGGCUAACUACGUG